AAACAAAGAAAGAAGCGGGAGAAUAAAAAAUUCACAACUUGGUUGGACAUACCAAGUGAGCAAGGUGAUUUGCUCACAAACAACAAGAGCCACCAAAAGAUGACUCGUAUAGCAUGCUAUGAGACCUUGAAUGGGGAGCAACACUAAAGCAAUGAGAAUGAAACUCAUUACUAACCUAAAUUGAUAGUUAACAAUAGUUAACCUCAAUGACCAACUACCAACCAAGACACAUGAAUACCAAACCUUUCUUCUACACAUAUACUCAUCCCCUCGUCCUAAAGCCUGAAAUACCCUUAGAGCCAAGACCACCAACAAAGGAUAACGAGUCCUCUUUGAUGACAACCGAGGCAUCUUCUCUUCCAAAAUCUAAAAACCACUCUUUGUAGGAGGAAGAGACACGAGUUUUAAUCACCUCCCUACUCCUAUAAUCUAAAACCAGUCCGUUGGCUUCCUUAAUCCUCAAAUUUGGACAUAACCACAUAGCAAGUCCAAAUGAAUUCCACACUUUUGAAAACCACAAAUUAAAAUCAAAACUGUUUCCGAGGCUAUAAAUACCUCUCUGUUUCUACCGCUCCAGAGGGAUAAAAAAUCAUUAAUCUAUCGAGACUGUAAAUUUUGAACAUUUUUAUAUUUGUACGAACCUGGUUCGGAUAAGUGUCCUUUAGCAAAAGGUCUUGCAUGUAGAGGGUGGCGUAGCGGCUGUCCGACAUGCAUUACAAAAACAUAUCAGAGGGUAAUAUUGUCAUUUCAUUCGCAUUUUGAAAAUGCUGAUGUGGUAAGUUGGAUCCAUGAAGGAGUUGUUUGUGGGAAACACAUGUUCCAGCGUGGCAUAAACUCUCACCUUCCUUCCUUGUGUUCUCCGCCGUUCUCUCUCCUCCCUCUCAUCCCCUAUUUUUCUGGUGAAAAUUUGUCGUUGUUCUUGCUCGAUUUCGAUUCGUUUUUGGAUGUUUUACUUGGAUCUUGCUUAAUUGAGCAUCUAUUUCUCUCGAACUCAUCGCAAAAAUAUUAUUCCGUCCAGUUUUACAAGAUAAGGUGAAUUGGAGAAGAAGAAGAACAGGUGAAUUGGGGACGAAGAAGACGAUUUGGGGGAAAGGAGGCAGAUUUUCGGAAGCGAAUUUUAUUGUGGUUUAAAUUUGUUUGUUUUUGUUCAUCAAUAGGUUAGAAUUGAUGCAGAUAAGGUGAAUUGGGGAAGAAGAAGAACAAGUGAAUUGGGGAAGAAGAAGACGAUUUGGGGGAAAGGAGGCAGAUUUUGUUUUGGGGUGAAGCUACCUUCUUUCCACGUCACAUGGUCCAACUUGGCAGAAAUGUCAUUUGUCUUUCACUAUUCAAUUUCAUUUUCCCCCCAAAAUCACUUUAUUUUUUAAUUUAUCUUUUCUUUUGGGUCUGAUAUGCGUUGGGUUACACAUAUCUGAUAUGUGUAAAUACUUCCUCCUUGCAUGUACGAGGUGUACUAUAAAUUUAUUGCAUAUCGGAUAAUUUUUACGCACAAUUCGGUAACUUUUAACAUGUUUUGAUGAAUUUUUAUAUUAUAAAUUUCUUUUAAUGGA
Spinacia oleracea (spinach) is the source of this 1547-nucleotide long non-coding RNA. RefSeq lists it as uncharacterized. Lineage: Eukaryota; Viridiplantae; Streptophyta; Magnoliopsida; Caryophyllales; Amaranthaceae. The record is from RefSeq and is a predicted model, not a curated record. The transcript has 2 exons.